Molecule: ribosomal RNA, 424 nt
Filed under: Fusobacteriota bacterium
Lineage: Bacteria; Fusobacteriati; Fusobacteriota
Description: Fusobacteria bacterium partial 16S ribosomal RNA
Rfam family: Bacterial small subunit ribosomal RNA
Source: RNAcentral
UGAGGAAUAUUGGUCAAUGGGCGAGAGCCUGAACCAGCCAAGUCGCGUGAAGGAAGACAGUCCUAAGGAUUGUAAACUUCUUUUAUACGGGAAUAACGGGCGAUACGAGUAUUGCAUUGAAUGUACCGUAAGAAUAAGCAUCGGCUAACUCCGUUCCAGCAGCCGCGGUAAUACGGAGGAUGCGAGCGUUAUCCGGAUUUAUUGGGUUUAAAGGGUGCGUAGGUUGUUCGGUAAGUCAGCGGUGAAACCUGAGCGUUCAACGUUCGACCUGCCGUUGAAACUGCCGGGCUUGAGUUCAGUGGCGGCAGGCGGAAUUCGUGGUGUAGCGGUGAAAUGCAUAGAUAUCACGAGGAACUCCGAUUGCGAAGGCAGCUUUACACACUGCGACUGACACUGAAGCACGAAGGCGUGGGUAUCAAACAGG